Molecule: ribosomal RNA, 500 nt
Filed under: uncultured bacterium
Lineage: Bacteria
Description: bacterial SSU rRNA
Rfam family: Bacterial small subunit ribosomal RNA
Source: RNAcentral
AACGAACGCUGGCGGCAUGCCUAACACAUGCAAGUCGAACGAAGUCUUCGGACUUAGUGGCGCACGGGUGCGUAACGCGUGGGAAUCUGCCCUUGGGUACGGAGUAACUCAGAGAGAUUUGUGCUAAUACCGUAUAAUGACUUCGGUCCAAAGAUUUAUCGCCCAAGGAUGAGCCCGCGUAAGAUUAGCUAGUUGGUGGGGUAAAAGCCUACCAAGGCGACGAUCUUUAGCUGGUCUGAGAGGAUGAUCAGCCACACUGGGACUGAGACACGGCCCAGACUCCUACGGGAGGCAGCAGUGGGGAAUAUUGGACAAUGGGCGAAAGCCUGAUCCAGCAAUGCCGCGUGAGUGAUGAAGGCCCUAGGGUUGUAAAGCUCUUUUACCCGGGAUGAUAAUGACAGUACCGGGAGAAUAAGCUCCGGCUAACUCCGUGCCAGCAGCCGCGGUAAUACGGAGGGAGCUAGCGUUGUUCGGAAUUACUGGGCGUAAAGCGCGCGGUA